UUGCUGGGUUACGUCCACAUCUGAAAGAAAGAAAGAGACAAGGAUAAACCAAUGGUGACGACUUGGCAUUGACAUAUCUUCAGUAGACGUGCUCACCUGUAUUCAGCCCCGCACCGAGUAAUCUGCACCGAACCCGUACCAGAAGUCACUUAAAACUCACCUUGCACUUGUGAUUCUGAAAUAAACACUGUGUUUGGAUUCACUUAACUCUGCCUCGCGUCUCUAUCCUGACAGAAGGUUUGACCAACACCGCUAUGAAUCCAACGCAGACUGAAGACAGUGCUUCUGCAAACACCGCUUCCACGCUGGUGUACAUCGCAAACACAGUCUCUCGACCAGUGCCCUUCUCUGGCCGGGCAGAAGAUUGCAAUGGGUUCCUACUGCAAUGCUCGCUCACCCUUGAACACGCCCACCAAUAUCCCACGGAAAGAUCCAAGAUCUCGUUUGUCAUCCAGCAGUUAUCCGGGGCAGCGUUAAGAUGGGCUGAAACGCUGUGGUUUCAAGAGACUCCGAUUACCUCUUCAUUACAAAGUUUCAUCAAUCAUUUCAAAGAAGUGUUUGGAUGUCCAGUAGGCGAUUCAUCAGUCAGCGACCAGCUAUUACAGUUACGUCAAGGUGAAAGAUCCAUUUCUGAGUACUCCCUGGAAUUCCGAACUCUAGCCUCAGCAAGCGGGUGGAAUGAGAAGGCCCUCCUUACUGUGUAUCAAAGAGGACUAAACCAACGCUUCGCCUUCUGCUCACCAUUUAUGAUGACACUUUGGGGCUAGAGAAACUUAUGCAACAAGCUCUCCGGGUUCAUCAAAGAUCACAACACUGCUAUCGAGACACUCAAAUAUCAGUUCCCGUUCCCCAUCCGAAUUUAUACGAAGUAUUCCCAGAACCGAAAUCAGAGAAGAUGCAAGUAGAAACCCACAGGCUGUCUCAAGCAGAAUGCAACCGUUGGCGAGAGUUGAAGCUAUGUCUCUACUGUGGGAACGGAGGUCACUUCCUACAAACAUGCCCAUCUCGUCCGCCUCGUAUGCUGUCACCGCCAUCGUGGACUCCGGAUCAGCAGGCAAUUUCAUAUCGGGAGGUCUCGUCAAGACUCUCAAGCUCAAAAGUACCAGUACCCCCAAGCCGUACUCCAUCCAUGCCGUGACUGGCGAAGUCAUCAACAAAGGGUAUGUAACAUCUCAGAUAACACCUAUCAACCUAUGUGUUGAGGAUACCCACCUUGAAUUAUUUAACCCGUUCAUCCUUGAGAAUAGCCAGGCUGACAUCAUCCUGGGUCGCCCAUGGCUCAUUCGACACCAACCUACCAUUAACUGGGAAUCUGGGAAGAUACUGAUCUGGGGUUGCAACUGCCUAUCCACCAGCAUAACAAUCCCCGUCCAACCUACGGACGACCAACUCGAACCAGUUCCACUUCCAUUGAAAGCCUAUCAGUCACAAUUCCUCCAUGUUACUCAUCUUUUUCAGAUGUGUUCAACCCUGUUGCAGCCUCCAGGUUACCACCACACCGACCUUGGGAUUGUGCUAUCAACUUGGUCCCAGGUGAAACCAUUUCAAAGGGUCGUAUCUAUUCAUUAUCCAUCCCCGAACAAACUGCCAUGCAAAGGUACAUUGAAGAGGCCCUGCAACAAGGGUAUAUCUGACCUUCCACCUCUCCAGCUGCCGCCAGCUUCUUCUUUGUCCCUAAAAAGGAUGAGGGUUUGCGGCCCUGUAUAGAUUAUAGAGCCCUAAAUAAGAUCACCGUAAAAUUCAGCUAUCCACUUUCGUUAGUGCCAUCCGCCCUAGAACAACUCAGAGAAGCGCGCAUAUUCACUAAGCUAGACCUGAGGAGUGCCUAUAACUUGAUCAGAAUUUGAGAAGGGGACGAAUGGAAAACGGCGUUCAUCACCACAGCAGGGCACUAAGAAUACCUUGUGACGCCGUAUGACCUAGUAAACGCCCCCUCUGUGUUCCAGAGUUUUAUGGACCAGGUCCUCCGAGAAUUCCUGAACCGCUUUGUUCUGGUUUACAUUGAUGAUAUACUUACCUUCUCCAGUGAUGAAACCGAACAUCAGCACCAUGUCUCCCAGGUCCUCCAACGGCUCAGAGAGCUUUCCCUGUUCCUAAAAGCAGAGAAGUGCGUUUUCCAUCAGACCUCCAUCGAAUUCCUGGGUUACCAUAUCAGUGAGAAAGGAGUUAAGAUGGAUGACCUUAAGACCCAAGCCAUCAGUUCCUGGCCCACUCCCAAGUCAAUCAAGGAGUUACAGAGGUUCCUGGGCUUUGCAAACUUUUACCGCCAGUUCAUAGACCGGUACAGUAUGCUAACAACACCAUUAACGUCUCUCCUGAAGGGGAAGCCGAAGACCCUUCACUGGACCCCAGACGCGGAACACGCCUUCCAAACGUUAAAGGCCGCCUUCACCAUGGCUCCCCUGCUCCAGCACCCAGACCCAGAAAAAAGAUUCAUCGUGGAGGUGGACGCUUAAACAACCGGCAUAGGGGCCAUCCUGUCGCAGUACCCAAAGAACUCCUCCAAACCCAUGCCUUGUGCAUUUUUCUCCCGAAAGUUAUCCCCCGCUGAGAGUAACUACGAUAUCGGCAACCGGGAACUCCUAGCCGUGAAACUCGUUCUGGAAGAAUGGAGGCAUUGGUUGGAGGGGGCCAGGCAUCCAUUUCUUGUACUUACCGACCACAGGAACCUCCAAUAUUUAAAGGAAGCCAAGAGGCUUAACCCCCAAUUCCUAUGUGUCCUGGGCUAUCAGCUGCCACUGUUUCCCUGGUCCGGUGAGCCAUCAGAAGUCCCUGCCGUGAAUGCCUGGAUCCAAGAUAGUGAGAGGGUUUGGAACCAGGCACACCACCACCUUCAGCAGGCAGUAAAUCGCCACCGGCACUUUGCUGAUACUCACCACCGCCAAACUCCCACCUACCAGCCUGGGCAAUUAGUAUGGCUCUCCACUCGUGAUAUCCGGUUGAAGCAACCAUGUCGCAAGUUAAGCCCAAAAUACAUCGGUCCAUUCCCUGUGGAGAGCCAAGUUAACCUGGUCACUUACAGACUUCGACUGCCCGCUCAGUAUUGGAUACACCCCACCUUUCAUGUCUCCCUUCUGAAACCCCAUCACUUACCUGUCUCUGUUCCCUCUGCAGACCCGGCCCCUGACAAUACCCCCCCCCCCCGAUACCGCCCAUAGAAGCCAAGCCCAUCUACACGGUCAAGGAGAUACUAGAUUCACCUCGUUGUGGUGGACGACUCGAGUACCUGGUGGACUGGGAGGAUUAUGGUCCAGAAGAGAGGUGUUGGGUACCUCGUCAUGAUAUCCUCGACCCCAAUCUGCUCACCGAGUUUCAUGCACAGUAUCCGGGGAAACCGGCUCUGCGGCCGCGCGGCAGACCCCCAUGACGUCGGGGUCUCAAGGACUCUGGAGGGGGGGGUAAUGUCAGGGACCAGUCAAGCCCGGUCCCAUCCACCUCACAACGAUCACUCUCCCCAGAGUACUAAUCACCCGCACCUGCUCACCAUUACCAACCUCAUCAUAGCACACCAUAAAACACUCCCCACAACCCCAGUUCAAUGUCAAACCUCCAACAGGAACAGACCAUAUGCUGUUGUCUCCUGACCUGCUGAUGCACCACGGAUUCAAGGACGUAACGUAUACUCACCUUUGAAACACUAACCCCUGUGUCAUUGUUCCACUGCUUCCAGGACUCCUGCUUGAUCCCCUGUUACCUGUGAGCUGAUGCUCAUCUGUACUUCCAGUGUUUCCCUCUGAGCUUGCUGGGUUACGUCCACAUCUGAAAGAAAGAAAGAGACAAGGAUUAACCAACGAUGACGACUUGGCAUUGACAUAUCUUCAGUAGACGUACUCACCUGCAUUCAGCCCCGCACUGAGUAAUCUGCACCAAACCCGCACCAGAAGUCACUGAAAAAUCAUCUUGCACUUGUGAUUCUGAAAUAAACACUGUUUGGAUUCACUUACCUCUGCCUCG
Molecule: long non-coding RNA, 3954 nt
Organism: Cyprinus carpio (common carp)
Lineage: Eukaryota; Metazoa; Chordata; Actinopteri; Cypriniformes; Cyprinidae
Source: Ensembl